This 717-nucleotide ribosomal RNA is filed under the name Acinetobacter sp. RNAcentral describes it as "bacterial SSU rRNA". It matches the Rfam family "Bacterial small subunit ribosomal RNA", at positions 28 to 740 of the family's 1533-position model. The record is from RNAcentral. Lineage: Bacteria; Pseudomonadati; Pseudomonadota; Gammaproteobacteria; Moraxellales; Moraxellaceae.
AUUGAACGCUGGCGGCAGGCCUAACACAUGCAAGUCGAGCGGAUGAAGGGAGCUUGCUCCUGGAUUUAGCGGCGGACGGGUGAGUAAUGCCUAGGAAUCUGCCUGGUAGUGGGGGAUAACGUUCCGAAAGGAACGCUAAUACCGCGUACGUCCUACGGGAGAAAGCAGGGGACCUUCGGGCCUUGCGCUAUCAGAUGAGCCUAGGUCGGAUUAGCUAGUUGGUGAGGUAAUGGCUCACCAAGGCGACGAUCCGUAACUGGUCUGAGAGGAUGAUCAGUCACACUGGAACUGAGACACGGUCCAGACUCCUACGGGAGGCAGCAGUGGGGAAUAUUGGACAAUGGGCGAAAGCCUGAUCCAGCCAUGCCGCGUGUGUGAAGAAGGUCUUCGGAUUGUAAAGCACUUUAAGUUGGGAGGAAGGGUUGUACGUUAAUACCGUGCAAUUUUGACGUUACCGACAGAAUAAGCACCGGCUAACUUCGUGCCAGCAGCCGCGGUAAUACGAAGGGUGCAAGCGUUAAUCGGAAUUACUGGGCGUAAAGCGCGCGUAGGUGGUUCAGUAAGUUGGAAGUGAAAUCCCCGGGCUCAACCUGGGAACUGCUUUCAAAACUGCUGAGCUAGAGUACGGUAGAGGGUAGUGGAAUUUCCUGUGUAGCGGUGAAAUGCGUAGAUAUAGGAAGGAACACCAGUGGCGAAGGCGACUACCUGGACUGAUAC